RNAcentral lists this ribosomal RNA (718 nucleotides) under uncultured bacterium. Its description in RNAcentral is "bacterial SSU rRNA". It matches the Rfam family "Bacterial small subunit ribosomal RNA", at positions 63 to 778 of the family's 1533-position model. The record is from RNAcentral.
CGAGCGGUAACAGGGGUAGCUUGCUACCCGCUGACGAGCGGCGGACGGGUGAGUAAUGCAUAGGAAUUUACCCGAUAGUGGGGGAUAACCUGGGGAAACCCAGGCUAAUACCGCAUACGUCCUACGGGAGAAAGGGGGCUUCGGCUCCCGCUAUCGGAUGAGCCUAUGCCGGAUUAGCUGGUUGGUGAGGUAAUGGCUCACCAAGGCAACGAUCCGUAGCUGGUCUGAGAGGAUGAUCAGCCACAUCGGGACUGAGACACGGCCCGAACUCCUACAGGAGGCAGCAGUGGGGAAUAUUGGACAAUGGGCGCAAGCCUGAUCCAGCCAUGCCGCGUGUGUGAAGAAGGCCCUCGGGUUGUAAAGCACUUUCAGCGAGGAAGAACGCCUGGCGGUUAAUACCCGCCAGGAAAGACAUCACUCGCAGAAGAAGCACCGGCUAACUCCGUGCCAGCAGCCGCGGUAAUACGGAGGGUGCAAGCGUUAAUCGGAAUUACUGGGCGUAAAGCGCGCGUAGGUGGCUUGAUAAGCCGGUUGUGAAAGCCCCGGGCUCAACCUGGGAACGGCAUCCGGAACUGUCAGGCUAGAGUGCAGGAGAGGAAGGUAGAAUUCCCGGUGUAGCGGUCAAAUGCGUAGAGAUCGGGAGGAAUACCAGUGGCGAAGGCGGCCUUCUGGACUGACACUGACACUGAGGUGCGAAAGCGUGGGUAGCAAACAGGAU